UGAGGUCUUUCCUAAAUAGAGCUUUCCAGCUGUCAGCUCUUGCCUCGUGUGUCCCUUCAAGUGCUAAGCUGUUGAUUUCUUGUCAGCUUGGCCUCUCCUGUGGCAGGCACGGGAGGCCACAGUGCACAGAAAGGAGUGCACGAGUGAGACAUGGAAAGUGCAGUGAUGGAUACAUCCCAUUCCAAACCGAGUGAGACUCUUGGCAUGUUCUGGAAAAGACCUUGGGUGUGCAAGUCGGGCGUCAGGUUCCCCAAGGCUCCAAGGAAAGAGAUGUCCCAGGCAUGAUGGAGGGGUGAAGGCUCUUGGCCUCCCUUGUAGCAGCUCCCAAUGCCGGCUGUGAAUGGGGGACUGCCCUGUUGUCACAGGAGCAGGACUCUGCCAAGGAAAGCAAGGGAAAGAGAGGGAUUCUAGUCUUCGGGGAACUGGGAAGGUGUGUUAGUGCUGGGGAAAGAAGGUCCCUGCCUGCCUUCAGUGCACAUUGCUUUUUUGAGUCUUGUAACAGGCACAUGACAGUUACCAAGUCUCAGGCACCCACAGAAUGCCAGGCGUGGGGCCAGGUGCCCUGACACACGGAGAGGCCAUACCAUGAGGCUUCUCAGGCUGCACACAGCAGAAUGCAGGUGUGCAAUCUGGGCUCCACACUUCCAAGCUAUAGCCCUGUCACCUCCUUUCUCUGAGCCUCCGCCACGUCCUCUAAAAUGGGGUCAUCAGUUGCUACCUUAACAGGGUCGGUCCUAUGAGGAUUAGUUUGGGUAAUGUGACUGGCCCAGCCUAUGGCAGGCCGCCAACAGAUACGGUUUGAAUCCAUUUGGAUCUCCAGGUUAGACUGUGGAGUUUUGCACUGUUAUCUCAAAGUCCCCCUUGAACCUAGCCUAAAUCCAUACUGUCACAAUUCCAGGAUGCUCCAUUUAGACAACUUCAAGGAGCAAUUGGAGUUGUUGUUGUUAUUGUUGUUGUUGUUGUUGUUGUUGUUUGAUAGCCACUGAGUGACAGAAAAACCAAAGCGGCCUAAACAAGCAAUCAAACGAGGCAGGAGAGAAUGAUUUACGUCCUAAGAAGGCUAAGGGCAGACAGUUUUAGGCAAGGCCGUAGCUGGGUGCUUGAUGACAUCAGUAGCAAUCAUCUUUCCCGACCUCUUGGCCUUGCUUACUUUCCUCUGUGCUGGUGUCAUUCUCAGCUGGGCUUUUCUGUUAGGAAAGCAAGAUGGCCCCCAACAGUCACCUUCAGCCUCCCAACAGAAAAAGAACCCCUCAUUCCCUAUGAUUCCAGCCCUAAGGUCAGGACCCACUGGGACCUAACUGGCACAUACCCAGUGCUGAGCCAAUCACUGUGGCCAGGGAGGAUGGCCAGAUUGAGGUCGUGUGACCACCCUCCCUAAGGAGACUCCCGAGCUGUUCAACCUGUUUUCCUGUGUGGGAGUGAACCUGAGAGAACAGAGGAAAGACGUCAAACUCAUAAGCACGGUGUGGAACUGGAUUACCACUCCCCCACAUUCGGUGCCCUGUAUCAAAGUGCCCUGCUCCUUUGGAAGAUUAUACAGCACGGCCCAUGUUGUCCUCAGGCAUGGCAGAGGGGCUGCUGAACAGUGAAAACAGAUGUGAGCACACGCGUGAAGAACCAGGACCCAGGCAAAGGGGCAGCCCACCGGGAUACGUGUCUGCCUCCAUCGCCUCCUCCAAGCUGUGUGACCAAAGCUGGCUACUCGCCGUCUCUGAGCCUCGGUUUUCUCACCGUGAGUGGGGCUGGCAGUGGGAGACCCUGUUGUGGAGGCUGACCUUGGGCGGCACCCCACCGCUCCGGGUGAACAGUCAGGAGCUUGAUAAGAGGGCGUUCCCUCCCCCAGAGAGCCCUGUGGGGCCCAGCUGCCUGCCACCCAGUGACUGAUGUUCAGGUGCUGCAGCGCGAAGCCAGAGCAAGUUUAUGAUGCUCUAGCUGGUUUUUAAUCACAGCAAGAUGAGAAUUUGGCAGAUUGAGACACCGACUCGUGCGACAAACAUUGUCUGGUGUCUCAUUUGUCUUUCUCUGGCUUCAGUGGUGAUGCAGGGGGUGGGGCUUCCACUCUGGGGAGCACCCCCCUCAAAGUCCCUCAGGCCUCUUCCAUCUGCCCAUGCCUACCGAGCACCAGCUCCAGCCUUGAGGGAGAGGGACGCAGGGACUGGCCUGCAAGGGAUCUCGGAAGCCCCUGCCAGGAGGCUCCCUCCGUCUGAGCGCCACUGCAUGCCUGGCACAGCCCACCUUCUGCUGGGUUGACUGUCUGGCCCGUCCCCCAGGGGUGUCACCGCCUAAGAAGCUCUGUGUCUGCGAUGGCAGAUGCUCAGAGGUGUCCAGAUCUCCUCCACUCAAGCGUCGCCUCCUCAGGGAAGUCCUCCCUGACCACCGUAGACAGACUGUUCCCUUCAUGGCUCUCAGGGCUGGGGCAGAGUUUUCCCCACUCUGUCUGUCAGUUGUCUGUCUGACCACUGACAGUGGUCACCAUCACCUGCAUGGCACUUGACCCAUGCUGGGGACCCUGAUAGGACAUUUACGGGCGUAAACAGUCCCGACAGCCUCACUUUUCGGACGGGACACAGAGAAAUUCAGGAGUUGCCCCAGGCCACACAGCUCAGAAAGAGCCAGACCAGCUGGUAACGUGUGGGCAUUCCUGGUCUGUGCCGCACUCCUCGGGGGGCGAGGACCCUGGCGGGCACUCCAUCGGCAUUUGUGAACUGUUGCCCUGGCAAAUGCUGGUCCACGUGCUGGGGGCCUGGGAGGAAGCUGUCAACUCUGUGCAUCAUGGACACAAGAAAGAGACGGGGGGGGGGGACAGCAGAAGAGGGAUGGCAUGUCAGCUUUGCCACAGAGGCUGAGUAAGAGUCCAUCUGGCAGAUGGGCGGAAGGAAGGGCAGCCCAGGCAGGGGGAACAACAUUUGCAAAGCACGGCAAGUGCAGGAAGCCUCGAUGAGAGUGGAGGGCCACCCAUGUGCAAAGCAUAAAGGUUGGGGAACAUGGCAAAAACAAAAUCACUCAGUGUACUAGACAGCUCAGGCUGAUAUGACAAACCACCACAAGCUGGGGGUGUAAGCAACACACAUUUAUUUCUCACAGUUCUGGAGGCUAGGGAGUCCAAGGUGAGGGGGGUCGGUGAGUUCAGUUUCCGGAGAGUUCUCUUUCUGGCUGGCACGUAGCCGCUUCUUGCUGUGCCCUCACGUGCCUGAGAGAGGAGCGGGGUCGUCGGUCUCGCUUUCUCUUCUCGUAAGGACUCUAAUCCCAUGGGGGCUCCACCCACAUGGCUUCAUCUAAGCCUGUUUACCUCCAAAUCCCAUCAUAUUGGGGUUAGGGUUUCAACAUAUGAAUUGUGGGGGACACAAACAUCCAGUCCAUAACACGCGGCUGUAUUAAGCAGAAAGAGUUGUAAUACAGGGGGUCAGGAGCCUGCCGACAUCACCAGAAAGUCUGGAGGUCCAGGCCCUCAGGAACCAGCCCAGAGCAGCACUGCAGAACUGGCCCGGAUCAGCCUCUGCCACAGUCACGAAGGUGGGGGUCAAGAGGCUGGCGCUGGGCCCCCAGAUGCUGCUGGAGGAAAAGCCAGACCCUCCUCCCAGACACAGGAGAUGAGGCAUAAGAGCAGGGAAGGGCCUGGGCUGGGGAAGCGGGGCGGGCAGCGGGGCACAUUGACCCAUGACUAUGCGAGGGCCCUGAAAAGCCCAGGGAAGGACAUCCCAAGCCCUCGCUGCAGGGAAUGAGCUCUCCAGCCUCUGCAAGGCAGGCAGGAAGUUGGUGUGGAUGUCCCUCUCCAGCACACCUCCCUGGGUGGUGGGGGCCCCAGAUUGCUUUUUCCUUACGUGCUUCCUGGGCUCUCCGGUCCCCUCUGACACUUCUCUGCUUAGGGAUGACAGCUGAGCGGGUAAUUCCCCCCAGCCAUCCUCAUUGUUCACUGCAGGGCCGGCUGGCUGUUCCCUGGGUAAGCUCUUUAAGACGAUUCAUUUGCAUCUCCCUUUCACCGGUGCCCUGCCCCACCCAGUGUAACUCUCCAAACCCACUGCUCUAGAAGCAGAGCAUAAAUCUGUCAGGCUUCUGCAGCGUGUCCCAGACGCUCGGCAGUCCAGGAAGUGCCUAUGGCUGGGCUAUCAGGCAGCUUUCCGGGUUCAAGAGACAGGAAGAGCUUUGGCCAAAAUCAUCCCAAGAGGAUUAGAGGUGGGGUGAGGGUCAGGGCGGCCUAGUGCAAGCGGGAGCCAGGCCAGCACGACGGGGGUUCAGGAGAGGAACUGGCAAACAGGCGUGUUGCCUCUGUUGGAAUAACUCAGCCACAGGUGUAGGCGUUUUCCAGGUGACAAAAUAUUGCAAACCUCGGGAAAAUAAAAAGAGCCUAGGGGCACCUCUGUGGCUCAGUCA
Long non-coding RNA from Felis catus (domestic cat), 4371 nucleotides. RefSeq lists it as uncharacterized. NCBI's taxonomy places the organism in Eukaryota, Metazoa, Chordata, Mammalia, Carnivora, Felidae. The record is from RefSeq and is a predicted model, not a curated record. The transcript is spliced from 3 exons.